RNAcentral lists this ribosomal RNA (460 nucleotides) under uncultured bacterium. Its description in RNAcentral is "partial 16S ribosomal RNA". It matches the Rfam family "Bacterial small subunit ribosomal RNA", at positions 338 to 795 of the family's 1533-position model. The record is from RNAcentral.
CCUACGGGAGACUGCAGUGAGGAAUAUUGGUCAAUGGCCGUAAGGCUGAACCAGCCAAGUCGCGUGAAGGAAGAAGGAUCUAUGGUUUGUAAACUUCUUUUAUAGGGGAAUAAAGGUAUCCACGUGUGGAUCUUUGCAUGUACCCUAUGAAUAAGCAUCGGCUAACUCCGUGCCAGCAGCCGCGGUAAUACGGAGGAUGCGAGCGUUAUCCGGAUUUAUUGGGUUUAAAGGGUGCGUAGGUUGUUUUUUAAGUCAGCGGUGAAAGUUUGUGGCUCAACCAUAAAAUUGCCGUUGAAACUGGAAGACUUGAGUGUGUUUGAGGUAGGCGGAAUGCGUGGUGUAGCGGUGAAAUGCAUAGAUAUCACGAAGAACUCCGAUUGCGAAGGCAGCUUACUAAGCCAUAACUGACACUGAAGCACGAAAGCGUGGGGAUCAAACAGGAUUAGAUACCCCAGUAGUC